UACGAAGGGUGCAAGCGUUACUCGGAAUUACUGGGCGUAAAGGGCGCGUAGGCGGUUCGUACAGUCAGACGUGAAAUUCCUGGGCUCAACCUGGGGGCUGCGUUUGAUACGUGCGGACUUGAGUGCGGAAGAGGGUCGUGGAAUUCCCAGUGUAGAGGUGAAAUUCGUAGAUAUUGGGAAGAACACCGGUGGCGAAGGCGGCGACCUGGUCCGAUACUGACGCUGAGGCGCGAAAGCGUGGGGAGCAAACAGG
RNAcentral lists this ribosomal RNA (253 nucleotides) under uncultured bacterium. Its description in RNAcentral is "partial 16S ribosomal RNA". It matches the Rfam family "Bacterial small subunit ribosomal RNA", at positions 524 to 776 of the family's 1533-position model. The record is from RNAcentral.